This 425-nucleotide ribosomal RNA is filed under the name uncultured prokaryote. Its description in RNAcentral is "bacterial SSU rRNA". It matches the Rfam family "Bacterial small subunit ribosomal RNA", at positions 355 to 774 of the family's 1533-position model. The record is from RNAcentral.
UGGGGAAUAUUGGGCAAUGGGCGAAAGCCUGACCCAGCAACGCCGCGUGAGUGAUGAAGGUCGUAAGAUCGUAAAACUCUUUUCAGGGAUCUUAAAGCCUGUCUGUCAACAACAGGCAGGUCUGACUCUCCCUGGAAGAAGCCCUAGCCAACUACGUGCCAGCAGCUGCGGUAAUACGUAGGUGGCGAGCGUUAUUCGGAAUUACUGGGUGUAAAGGGUACGUAGGCGGCCCUUCAAGUCGCGUGUCAAAGUCCAGUGCUCAACGCUGGGUGUGCGCGCGAUACUGACGGGCUUGAGGGCUGGAGAGGUGAGCGGAAUUCCCGGUGUAGUGGUAAAAUACGUAGAGAUCGGGAGGAACACCAGCGGCGCAGGCGGCUCACUAGACAGUUUCUGACGCUAAGAUACGAAAGCGUGGGGAGCAAACA